UAAUUGAAGAGUUUGAUCAUGGCUCAGAUUGAACGCUGGCGGCAGGCCUAACACAUGCAAGUCGAGCGGUAACAGGGGAAGCUUGCUUCCCGCUGACGAGCGGCGGACGGGUGAGUAAUGUAUGGGGAUCUGCCCGAUAGAGGGGGAUAACCACUGGAAACGGUGGCUAAUACCGCAUAAUCUCUUAGGAGCAAAGCAGGGGAACUUCGGUCCUUGCG
RNAcentral lists this ribosomal RNA (218 nucleotides) under Providencia rettgeri. Its description in RNAcentral is "partial 16S ribosomal RNA". It matches the Rfam family "Bacterial small subunit ribosomal RNA", at positions 1 to 217 of the family's 1533-position model. The record is from RNAcentral. Lineage: Bacteria; Pseudomonadati; Pseudomonadota; Gammaproteobacteria; Enterobacterales; Morganellaceae.